AUGGGGAAGCAUCCAUGGGUGGUUCUAGGGGACUUCAACAAGAUUUUACUUUCAUCAGAAAAGGAGGGUGGCAAUGUGAGACCAAACGCUAUGAUGAGAGACUUUCGCAUUUGUUUAGGAGAGUGCGGCCUUGAGGAUAUGGGAUGUACUGGUGAUCUUUUCACUUGGAGGAGAGGAGAUACUAGGGAAAGACUUGACCGUGCGGUGUGCAAUGUUGAGUGGGCGACAAAAUUCCCUCGGGCUGCAAUUAUCCAUGAGGAACAUGUCCAUUCCGACCAUCGCCCACUCGUACUGGAUACGGAGUAUUAUGACGGCAAUAUAUUUAGUAGACCAAGGGGAUGA
RNAcentral lists this ribosomal RNA (342 nucleotides) under Triticum aestivum (bread wheat). Its description in RNAcentral is "partial small subunit ribosomal RNA". Lineage: Eukaryota; Viridiplantae; Streptophyta; Magnoliopsida; Poales; Poaceae. The record is from RNAcentral.